UGCGCCUCGUGCUCGAUCGUUCCGAGUCCGCUCGUGGCG
Molecule: unclassified non-coding RNA, 39 nt
Filed under: Sorangium cellulosum So ce56
Lineage: Bacteria; Pseudomonadati; Myxococcota; Polyangiales; Polyangiaceae
Description: sce_s2m_20
Source: RNAcentral